AUCAGCUCGCGUUGACUACGUCCC
RNAcentral lists this non-coding RNA (24 nucleotides) under Arabidopsis thaliana (thale cress). Lineage: Eukaryota; Viridiplantae; Streptophyta; Magnoliopsida; Brassicales; Brassicaceae. The record is from RNAcentral.